RNAcentral lists this long non-coding RNA (927 nucleotides) under Gallus gallus (chicken). RNAcentral describes it as "lncRNA (ENSGALG00010022495.1)". The record is from RNAcentral. Lineage: Eukaryota; Metazoa; Chordata; Aves; Galliformes; Phasianidae.
GGGUAGUUUCUCUUCCCCUCGUACAUGCAAACUUACAAGCCAGAACUCUGUGGUUUGUGCCUUAGUUUGUUAUGAAAACAUGCAUAUUUGUAGCCUGAGUCAGAACUGGGUUCCCCAGCUGAAGAUAAGCUUUCUGCAAUGACUUCUCUUCCAAUCCCACCAGCUGGGCACAGUGCUGAUUAAAAAAAAAAACAACAUCCUUGGCUACAGGAGGUUCUCAUGAGUGCCCAAUGGCCACAGGUGUUCUCCAGCCUGCUAAGCAGGUUUUAAAUGGGAGGAAAAGAUGCAGCUAAAUUACUUGUAUUCCCCCCAGUGGGAGGAAGCUGACCUGUGGAGGAGGAGUGUCCAGUACUGAGAGCACCAUCUUCUCAGCGGAGCGCUUUCCACCAAACUCACCUCCCCCACCUCAGGGCCCUGAGCCAGGAGGAGAGCUGACACUUUGCAGUCAUCUCCUGCCAUGUGGGUUUGAACACUGUAAGAGCAGAGCUGACAGCCCCAGGGAGCCUGAAGUUGUUCAUGAGGAUAUCUUUUACAGAUCACCUUGUUUCCUGUGCCAAAUCAGCACUGACAGGAACCAAAGUGACUUGCUGUUGGGAAGCUACCUGCUGCUGAUCCCUGGGGGAGAGAAGAGGAGUUGGCAUAUCCUGUGGGAAAGCAGCACAUCGAAAGAGAAAAGAGUACAUUCAUGCAUACAUGGGAGAUGACUACCUUGAGUUCCCAGGGUCGCACUGCUGGCUGCAAACCUUUCAUAGCUGGGAUAGACUUUUUGCUGUUCUGACUACAGCAGUGUAGUGGACUUUUACUUCUAACUGAGGCAGAGAGGCACACUGAAACACAAGUUGUGUCAGAAAACAGACUGUCUAGCUGACCUCCGAAGUAAUAUCAUUUAACAGCAUCAACAAAUGGACUGACAAACUGCUGGAAAAA